UUGGAGGGCAAGUCUGGUGCCAGCAGCCGCGGUAAUUCCAGCUCCAAUAGCGUAUAUUAAAGUUGUUGCAGUUAAAAAGCUCAUAGUUGAAUUUCGGGAUCAAUGUUUCGGUCAUGCCGUUGGUAUGUACUGAUAUUAUUGAUUUCUCACCUUCUAAAGAACCGUAAUGCCAUUAAUUUGGUGUCACGGGGAAUUAGGACUGUUACCUUGAAAAAAUUAGAGUGUUUAAAGCAGGCUCACGCUUGAAUACAUUAGCAUGGAAUAAUGAAAUAGGACAUCCGAUUCUAUUUUGUUGGUUUCUAGGAUCGAUGUAAUGAUUAAUAGGGAUAGUUGGGGGCAUUAGUAUUCAAUUGUCAGAGGUGAAAUUCUUGGAUUUAUUGAAGACUAACUACUGCGAAAGCAUUUGCCAAGGAUGUUUUCAUUAAUCAAGAACGAAAGUUAGGGGAUCGAAGACGAUCAGAUACCGUCGUAGUCUUAACCAUAAACUAUGCCGACUAGGGAUCGGAUGAUGUUAAUUUUUUAAUGACUCAUUCGGCGCCUUACGGGAAAC
Molecule: ribosomal RNA, 550 nt
Filed under: uncultured Glomeromycotina
Lineage: Eukaryota; Fungi; Glomeromycota
Description: SSU rRNA
Rfam family: Eukaryotic small subunit ribosomal RNA
Source: RNAcentral